CUCAUACUCUGGAUUGCCAGGAAAGGGAACCGCAAGGAUCUCGCUAAAUGAUGGGGAUAAGUCGCAUCAGCCAAUGAAUAGUGAGGUAAUGGCUCACUAAGGCGAAGACGCGUAGCCAGACUGAGAGGUUGAUUGGCCACAGGGGAACUGAAACACGGAUCCCACCGAAAGGGCAGCAGUGAGGAAUUGUCGACAAUGGGGGAAACCCUGAUCGCUGUAAUACUACGUGAAGGAUGAAGGUCUACGGAUUGUAAACUUCUAUGUGUAUGUUGGGAUACAUACACUGAAAAAGUCACGACUAACUAUGUGCCAGCAGUCGCGGUAAGACAUAGGUGGCGAACGUUAUCCGGAAUUAUUGGGCGUAAAGGAUGCGUAGAUGGUAGAAUAAGUUACUGGUCGAUGCCAAACUCAAUUUGACGGAAGCUGGUAAUACUAUUCUGCUAGAGGACAGGAGAGGUUGAUGGAAUUCUGUGUGGAGCGGUGAAAUGCGUUGAUCUACAGAGGAACACCAAAAAAGGCGAAGGCAUUCAACUAUUCUGUUCCUGACAUUGAGGCAUGAAAGCGUGGGGAGCAAACCGGAUUAGAUACCUGGGUAGUCCACGCCCUAAACGAUGAGCAUUAGAUAUUAGGCAUAUGCUUAGUGUCGCAGCUAACGCUUUAAAUGCUCCGCCUGAGUACUACGGCCGCAAGGCUAAAACUCAAAGGAAUUGACGGGGACCCGCACAAGCGGUGGAGCAUGUGGUUUAAUUCGAUACGACGCGCAGAACCUUACCAAGGCUUGACAUGGAGGGCAAAGUUGAAGAAACUCAACGGAGGUUAUCCCGACACAGGUGGUGCAAGGUCGUCGUCAGUUCGUGCUGUGAAGUUUAUGCUUAAGUGCCAUAACGAACGCAACCCUCAUAUUUAGUUGCUACCAUUCAGUUGAGAACUUUAAAUAGACUGCCAAGGAAACUUGGAGGAAGGAGAGGAUGACGUCUGAUCCUCAUGCCCCUUAUGCCUUGGGCUACACACGUGCUAUAAUGGUUAGGACAAAGGGUCGCCAACCCGCAAGGGGGAGCCAAUCCCAAAAAACUAACCCAAGUUCGGAUUGGAGUCUGCAACUCGACUCCAUGAAGUCAGAAUCGCUAGUAAUCGUGAAUCAGCAAUGUCACGGUGAAUAUGUUCUCGGGUCUUGUACACACCGCCCGUCAAGUCACGAAAGUCGGGAAUGCCUGAAACCAACUAAUGUUGACAAGGGUAGGCUUGGCGAUUGGGAUUAAGUCGUAACAAGGUAGCCGUAG
RNAcentral lists this ribosomal RNA (1280 nucleotides) under uncultured bacterium. RNAcentral's name for it is "partial 16S ribosomal RNA". It matches the Rfam family "Bacterial small subunit ribosomal RNA", at positions 170 to 1505 of the family's 1533-position model. The record is from RNAcentral.